GCCCUAAUAGCUUAAAUUUUAAAGCACUGGUCUUGUAAACCAGAGACUGAAGUUUUAAAUCUUCUUAAGGCU
This 72-nucleotide transfer RNA is filed under the name Allobates caeruleodactylus. Its description in RNAcentral is "tRNA-Thr". It matches the Rfam family "tRNA". Rfam says of the family: Transfer RNA (tRNA) molecules are approximately 80 nucleotides in length. Their secondary structure includes four short double-helical elements and three loops (D, anti-codon, and T loops). The record is from RNAcentral. Lineage: Eukaryota; Metazoa; Chordata; Amphibia; Anura; Aromobatidae.